UUCCAAACAAUUUUUAAACCCUCCCUCGUAUUUCUGAAUUUUGUGUGCCUGGAAAGUUGCACAAAACAUGUUGCUUCAGGGCUGCACCUAAUUAUAUUGGGCAUCCAGAAAUAGGUGCAUCUGACUCAGAAUUUCUGCAUGCUUUGCCAACCAAUCAAACCAUAAGAAAUGCAAACUAUGCUUAAAUUAAGCAAUAAAACACUGCAAGUUGCAAGUUGUAACGUAUUAGCAUACACCACACUGCAAGGAAGAACUCCACAACAGGAAACAGCUUCAAAGUAUAUUUGUACCCAGAACUGCUGAGAGUAUCUUCACAACUGUGACUUUACACAACUUAGAGUCACACAACCAACUAUUCCACACUGAAUAUUACAGAACAGGACUAAGCAUCAAAUGAGGGAUACAAGAGCUGGCAGUCUUACUUGCUAUGUCUUUGUGGAAGACAAAGGUUUGUUUUAAUAAGCAUGUAUUGAAUGAUUCAGUGCAGAACUGAAACAGCAAGCACAGUGGACUCAGCCUAUCUGGACACCUACCUGCCUUGAUAUAUCUAUCAAUUUUAAACACCUGUCAUCCAGACAUGUGGUUGGGAUAUAUCAAAGAGAAAAACAUACACAGAUUCAUCAACCAAAAGCUGAAUAAGUCACUUGAGGGCAUGCACACUUACUGUAAAUAACCAUAGCUGCACCUGAAGUGUAAUGGAACCUCCUUGAAGAAGAAAUAUUAUUAACAUUUCCAGUAAGAGUGGCCAAAGGCACCAGAAAGGCCUGUUGAAGUGAGGUGGGAGCUGGUAUCUCCUUCCAAGCAACAAGCAAUCGAGCAAGAGGAAGUGGCCUCAAGAUGUGCCAGGGGAGGUUUAGACUGGAUAUUAGGAAAAAUUUCUUCACAGAAAGGAUUGUCAAGCAUUGGAACAGGCUGCUCAGGGAAGUUAUUCACUUCCCAUCCCUAGAGGAAUUUAAAAGACCUGUGGUAGAUAUGGAACUCAGGGAUGUGGUUCAGUGGUGGAUUUAGCAGUGUUAGAUUUACAACUGGAGUCUAUGAUCUUACACACCUUUACCAACCUGAAUGAUUCUGUGAUUUGAUGCUCCUAAAUUCUCAGGACUACAUUCAGAAGAGUCUGAAGGACAGGACUAAGAAAAACCCUCUCACUGCCAGCAUAAGCUCUUCCUUCUUCCGUCCCUGUUGCACAGACACCAGCAAGCAGCUCGUUCCCACACGGGUUUACAUUUCCUGCCAUCUAUACAGAUCGUUCUCACAGAGCUGCAAAGAGCAAGACUGUGCUCCUUCCUGUGGCAAUGAUUAUUGCAUGUGAAUAAACCUGACUCUACAGAUAGAUAUCAACUGCAGAGGGAUGUGAACAGAAAAAGAGACUUCUUUCCUCCUAAUGAAUUUAGAGACUUCUUCUGACCUCAGUCAGCAUAACUUUCUUGGAUGUAAAAGAGUUUUUCAAGCUGAUGAAUUUACUGUGUGAUUUUUUUCUGGAAACAUGGAAAUUUCAUUUUCUCCAGUGCUGGGCUACCUGAUGGGAAAGGGACAUCACCUGCUUACCAGGCUGGCAGUAGUGUGGAUAUCACAGCAGCCUCAUCAAGCCAGCUUCAACUGAGCCAUCACCUGUCAUCUCUACUGUGACAGGGCAGUUCCACUGUUAAAAAGAUGCACUUACAGAGACUUUUCUCACAGAGAGAGUGGCCUACAUUUUCAAACUCACUGCCAAGGAUCAGUGGCUCUCCAUCUCCACCACCUACAGAAAUGCAUCCAAAGCACUAUUUCAUCCUAAUUUUCCCACAAAAGACCCUCUCAAGUAUGUCAGGACUCUCACCCAUAUUCAGAAAGGGCCAGCAGUAACUUUUAAGUGCACUCCUGUCACGAGAGCUUCAAAGGGAAAGAUUUGUGCAUUUACUUCCAGAUACCAUAGUUACGGAUGAGCUUAGGCCACAUAAAGGAAUUAAAUGUAAUGCCCUAGGAGAAGUUAGAUGCUAUUUCUGACUGAAUGGCUUCAAGAGUGUGUGCAAUUGUUCUAAUCUAUGAGACAAGUGAAAUAGGAAGUAUCUGAAUGUGUUCGGUAGCGUUUUUUUUUCUCAAAGCAUAAAGUUUUUAUUCUCUUGGUUUGAUGAUAUUUGACUCCUGGCACCAACCUGUCCCUUCCAUAUGGUAUCAGGUAUGACUGCAAUAAAAGAAUCAAAACUCUACAGAAAUCUCAAAAGGCAUUAAUAUGUUUGCUUGGUCAAACUAUGGAGUCUCAAAGCAAGAAGGAAGCCAAGACAAACAGGAAUAUAUUGCUUAAAUCAAGACGUAGGCAGGUACUGAACUUCCUUUCUUCAUUAUUUCUAAUCAGUUUAAGAGCAUGAUUCAUUUGUUAAACUUCAUUCUGUACAAGUGGGGAGAAAAAAAAAGUGAAUUACCCAUUGAAUGCACAAUAGAAUAAUGAAAGGAAGCUGCAGGUACUUCAUGCUUUUGAAAAUUAUUCACUCUUCAAGAAAAUGCAUAGAGACAUAUUUAUGUCCAUCUCUGUUAAGGAAAACACACACAUUUAUGUCUGAAGAUUUUCUUGGAUGAAUUCCAAAGAGAAAAUUUCAGAUAAGCCUGGCUGGAGGACUGUGCCCACCUCUGCAUCACUGGACCAGACUAUAUAUAUUAAGAAAUAAUCACAUAGUCUUUCAAGCAGAAGACACUGUCUGAGACUACACUUCAGUGCCCCAAGUGAUGAACAUUUUGCUGAGCUUCCUGUAACGCAAUUACACUGCAAAUCAGAUAGCUAUCACAAGAUAAAUCUAAUACUCAACAGAAAAUUGAAAAUAUUUCUUGAUUAGGUGCAGCUGACCUAUAAGACAGCCUUUGAACUUUUAAUUAAUAUCUUUAAAGGAAGGAGGGUUUUGCACAUGAAAGGGCAACUCCUUAAAAUUAUUUUGCAAUUGAUAAAAUGAACAGUUCAAGAAUUUUCUGCCUUAACUGACCUGUGGUGGCAAUCACUUGGGUAAUCUACAUCUGCUCUCUUAUGGAAAGUCUGCAAAACCAACUUACAAAAAGAAAUAAAAAAUAUUGCAGAGAAAACAAGGAGAAAAAAGAAUUGCAAGUUCCCCCAAAUUCAGUACCUUUUAUAUAACACAUGGUUACAAGUGACUUUUGAUGCACCAGCAUUAACUUAAAAAACCAAGAAUGCAUGUAUUAUGUCAAUGUUUUGAGAAAUGGUAUGGGUGUUAAUGUUAAUGAGAAAAAGCAACAUUUAUUGUGAAAUAAAAACAUCUGCCUCAUUAGGAAUAACAUAGUAAAUUAUGUCUACUAUGUAUACACGUUAAAGA
Long non-coding RNA from Passer domesticus (house sparrow), 3296 nucleotides. RefSeq lists it as uncharacterized. The record is from RefSeq and is a predicted model, not a curated record. Lineage: Eukaryota; Metazoa; Chordata; Aves; Passeriformes; Passeridae. The transcript has 3 exons.